This 546-nucleotide ribosomal RNA is filed under the name uncultured eukaryote. RNAcentral describes it as "SSU rRNA". It matches the Rfam family "Eukaryotic small subunit ribosomal RNA", at positions 21 to 569 of the family's 1831-position model. The record is from RNAcentral.
UGUAGUCAUAUGCUUGUCUCAAAGAUUAAGCCAUGCAUCUCUAAGUAUAAGCAAUUAUACAGCGAAACUGCGAAUGGCUCAUUAAAUCAGUUAUCGUUUAUUUGAUAGUACCUUACUACAUGGAUAACCGUGGUAAUUCUAGAGCUAAUACAUGCUAAAAAUCCCGACUUCGGAAGGGAUGUAUUUAUUAGAUUAAAAACCAAUGCCCUUCGGGGCUCUCUGGUGAUUCAUAAUAACUUCUCGAAUCGCACGGCCUUGCGCCGGCGAUGGUUCAUUCAAAUUUCUGCCCUAUCAACUUUCGACGGCUGGGUCUUGGCCAGCCGUGGUGACAACGGGUAACGGAGGGUUAGGGCUCGACCCCGGAGAAGGAGCCUGAGAAACGGCUACUACAUCCAAGGAAGGCAGCAGGCGCGCAAAUUACCCAAUCCCGACACGGGGAGGUAGUGACAAUAAAUACUGAUACAGGGCUCUUUUGGGUCUUGUAAUUGGAAUGAGUACAAUUUAAAUCCCUUAACGAGGAACAAUUGGAGGGCAAGUCUGGUAAUC